UACGUAGGGGGCAAGCGUUAUUCGGAAUUAUUGGGCGUAAAGCGCGCGCAGGCGGUUUCUUAAGUCUGAUGUGAAAGCCCACGGCUCAACCGUGGAGGGUCAUUGGAAACUGGGAGGCUUGAGUGCAGAAGAGGAAAGUGGAAUUCCAUGUGUAGCGGUGAAAUGCGUAGAGAUAUGGAGGAACACCAGUGGCGAAGGCGACUUUCUGGUCUGUAACUGACGCUGAGGCGCGAAAGCGUGGGGAGCAAACAGG
Molecule: ribosomal RNA, 253 nt
Filed under: uncultured bacterium
Lineage: Bacteria
Description: partial 16S ribosomal RNA
Rfam family: Bacterial small subunit ribosomal RNA
Source: RNAcentral